Molecule: ribosomal RNA, 253 nt
Filed under: uncultured bacterium
Lineage: Bacteria
Description: partial 16S ribosomal RNA
Rfam family: Bacterial small subunit ribosomal RNA
Source: RNAcentral
GACAGAGGGGGCAAGCGUUGCUCGGAAUUACUGGGCGUAAAGGGCGCGUAGGCGGAAUGGCAAGUCGGUCGUGAAAUCCUUCGGCUCAACCGAAGAACGUCGACCGAAACUGCCGUUCUUGAGGAUUGCAGAGGAGACUGGAAUUCCCGGUGUAGCGGUGAAAUGUGUAGAGAUCGGGAGGAACACCGGUGGCGAAGGCGGCGUUCUGGACUGCAACUGACACUGAGGAACGAAAGCCAGGGGAGCAAACGGG